AUGCGUAUGUUGAGAUGGAUGUGUGGCCACACGAGGAAGGAUCGAGUCCGGAAUGAUGAUAUACGAGAUAGAGUUGGUGUAGCACCAAUUGAGGAGAAGCUUGUCCAACAUCGUCUGAGAUGGUUUGGGCAUAUUCAUCGCAGGCCUCCAGAAGCUCCAGUGCAUAGCGGACGGCUAAAGCGUGCGGAGAAUGUCAAGAGAGGGCGGGGUAGACCGAAUUUGACAUGGGAGGAGUCCGUUAAGAGAGACCUGAAGGAUUGGAGUAUCACAAAAGAGCUAGCUAUGGACAGGGGUGCGUGGAAGCUUCCUAUCCAUGUGCCAGAGCCAUGA
Molecule: ribosomal RNA, 330 nt
Filed under: Triticum aestivum (bread wheat)
Lineage: Eukaryota; Viridiplantae; Streptophyta; Magnoliopsida; Poales; Poaceae
Description: partial small subunit ribosomal RNA
Source: RNAcentral